AUCUUGUUUCGUAUGACAAGCAAUGCUUGCCACACGCAUCAGGUGAAUUUAAAAAAAUAAUAAAUUUUAAAUUGACCUGAUGAGUGUGGCAAGCAUUGCUUGUAUUUUUUUUAAAUUCACCUGAUACGUGUGGCAAGCAUUGCUUGUCAUACGAAACAAGUUUG
This is a non-coding RNA of Paramuricea clavata, 164 nucleotides long. The record is from the annotation of a GenBank genome assembly. NCBI's taxonomy places the organism in Eukaryota, Metazoa, Cnidaria, Anthozoa, Malacalcyonacea, Plexauridae.